This 252-nucleotide ribosomal RNA is filed under the name uncultured bacterium. RNAcentral describes it as "partial 16S ribosomal RNA". It matches the Rfam family "Bacterial small subunit ribosomal RNA", at positions 524 to 776 of the family's 1533-position model. The record is from RNAcentral.
UACGUAGGGUGCAAGCGUUGUCCGGAAUUAUUGGGCGUAAAGAGCUCGUAGGCGGCUUGUCGCGUCGAUUGUGAAACCCGCGGCUCAACCGCGGGCCUGCAUUCGAUACGGGCAGGCUAGAGUUCGGUAGGGGAGACUGGAAUUCCUGGUGUAGCGGUGAAAUGCGCAGAUAUCAGGAGGAACACCGAUGGCGAAGGCAGGUCUCUGGGCCGAUACUGACGCUGAGGAGCGAAAGCGUGGGGAGCGAACAGG